RNAcentral lists this ribosomal RNA (120 nucleotides) under Dysdera portisancti. RNAcentral's name for it is "partial large subunit ribosomal RNA". The record is from RNAcentral. Lineage: Eukaryota; Metazoa; Arthropoda; Arachnida; Araneae; Dysderidae.
AAAGUCUGUUCGACUUAUAAAUAUUUACAUGAUUUGAGUUCAGACCGGUGAAAACCAGGUCGGUUUCUAUCUUUUUUAAAAAUACGCCAGUACGAAAGGACCCCGCAAUUUAUUAAAAAU